CCUACGGGUGGCAGCAGUGAGGAAUAUUGGUCAAUGGGCGGAAGCCUGAACCAGCCAAGUAGCGUGCAGGAUGACGGCCCUACGGGUUGUAAACUGCUUUUAUACGGGAAUAACGCGCCUUACGUGUAGGUCUUUGCAUGUACCGUAUGAAUAAGGACCGGCUAAUUCCGUGCCAGCAGCCGCGGUAAUCCGGAGGGUCCGGGCGUUAUCCGGAUUUAUUGGGUUUAAAGGGAGCGUAGGCCGCAUGUCAAGCGUGCUGUGAAAUGGCCGGGCUCAACCCGGGCCUUGCAGCGCGAACUGGCGGGCUUGAGUCAGCGGAAAGCAGGCGGAAGUCGUGGUGUAGCGGUGAAAUGCUUAGAUAUGACGAAGAACCCCGAUGGCGAAGGCAGCUUGCUGGAGCGGAACUGACGCUGAUGCUCGAAAGCGAGGGUAUCGAACAGGAUUAGAUACCCCUGUAGUC
This 460-nucleotide ribosomal RNA is filed under the name uncultured bacterium. Its description in RNAcentral is "partial 16S ribosomal RNA". It matches the Rfam family "Bacterial small subunit ribosomal RNA", at positions 338 to 795 of the family's 1533-position model. The record is from RNAcentral.